GCCAGAUAGCUCAGUCGGUAGAGCAGGGGAUUGAAAAUCCCCGUGUCGGCGGUUCGAUUCCGUCUCUGGGCACCA
RNAcentral lists this transfer RNA (75 nucleotides) under Pseudomonas protegens. RNAcentral describes it as "tRNA-Phe". It matches the Rfam family "tRNA". Rfam says of the family: Transfer RNA (tRNA) molecules are approximately 80 nucleotides in length. The record is from RNAcentral. Lineage: Bacteria; Pseudomonadati; Pseudomonadota; Gammaproteobacteria; Pseudomonadales; Pseudomonadaceae.